This 549-nucleotide ribosomal RNA is filed under the name uncultured beta proteobacterium. RNAcentral describes it as "bacterial SSU rRNA". It matches the Rfam family "Bacterial small subunit ribosomal RNA", at positions 355 to 897 of the family's 1533-position model. The record is from RNAcentral. Lineage: Bacteria; Pseudomonadati; Pseudomonadota; Betaproteobacteria.
UGGGGAAUUUUGGACAAUGGGGGCAACCCUGAUCCAGCCAUGCCGCGUGCGGGAAGAAGGCCUUCGGGUUGUAAACCGCUUUUGUCCGGGAAGAAAAGGCCACGGUGAAUACCCGUGGUUCUUGACGGUACUGGAAGAAUAAGCACCGGCUAACUACGUGCCAGCAGCCGCGGUAAUACGUAGGGUGCGAGCGUUAAUCGGAAUUACUGGGCGUAAAGCGUGCGCAGGCGGUUCGCUGUGUCUGCGGUGAAAGCCCCGGGCUCAACCUGGGAAUGGCCGUGGAAACUGGCGGGCUGGAGUGUGGCAGAGGGGGGUGGAAUUCCGCGUGUAGCAGUGAAAUGCGUAGAGAUGCGGAGGAACACCGAUGGCGAAGGCAACCCCCUGGGCUGACACUGACGCUCAGGCACGAAAGCGUGGGGAGCAAACAGGAUUAGAUACCCUGGUAGUCCACGCCCUAAACGAUGUCAACUAGGUGUUGGGGGAGCGAUUUCUCAGUACCGUAGCUAACGCGCGAAGUUGACCGCCUGGGGAGUACGGCCGCAAAGUUAA